This 374-nucleotide ribosomal RNA is filed under the name uncultured Zoogloea clone I. RNAcentral's name for it is "bacterial SSU rRNA". It matches the Rfam family "Bacterial small subunit ribosomal RNA", at positions 87 to 494 of the family's 1533-position model. The record is from RNAcentral. Lineage: Bacteria; Pseudomonadati; Pseudomonadota; Betaproteobacteria; Rhodocyclales; Zoogloeaceae.
GUUGGCGAGUGGCGAACGGGUGAGUAAUAUAUCGGNNACGUACCCUNGAGUGGGGGAUAACGUGAAAGUGGGGGAUCGCAAGACCUCAUGCUCGUGGAGCGGCCGAUAUCUGAUUAGCUAGUUGGUAGGGUAAAAGCCUACCAAGGCAUCGAUCAGUAGCUGGUCUGAGAGGACGACCAGCCACACUGGAACUGAGACACGGUCCAGANUCCUACGGGAGGCAGCAGUGGGGAAUUUUGGACAAUGGGCGAAANCCUGAUCCAGCAAUGCCGCGUGAGUGAAGAAGGCCUUCGGGUUGUAAAGNUNUUUUGUCAGGGAAGAAACGGUGAGAGCUAAUAUCUCUUGCUAAUGACGGUACCUGAAGAAUAAGCACC